GGAGGUGCAAGCGUUAUCCGGAUUUAUUGGGUUUAAAGGGUGCGUAGGCGGUUUGAUAAGUCAGCGGUGAAAUAUUUCAGCUUAACUGGAAGGGUGCCGUUGAUACUGUCAGGCUUGAAUUUAGUUGCUGUGGGUGGAAUGUGUGGUGUAGCGGUGAAAUGCAUAGAUAUCACACAGAAUAUCGAUUGCGAAGGCAGCUCACAAAGCUAAUAUUGACGCUGAUGCACGAAAGUGUGGGGAUCAAACAGGAUUAGAUACCCUGGUAGUCCACACUGUAAACGAUGAUAACUCGCUGUCGGCGAUACAUAGUCGGUGGCCAAGCGAAAGCGAUAAGUUAUCCACCUGGGGAGUACGACCGCAAGGUUGAAACUCAAAGGAAUUGACGGGGGCCCGCACAAGCGGAGGAACAUGUGGUUUAAUUCGAUGAUACGCGAGGAACCUUACCCGGGCUCGAACGGUGCAUGAAUAUGUAAGAGAUUAUAUAGUCCUUCGGGACAUGUAUCGAGGUGCUGCAUGGUUGUCGUCAGCUCGUGCCGUGAGGUGUCGGCUUAAGUGCCAUAACGAGCGCAACCCUUGUCGUUAGUUACCAUCAAGUAAUGUUGGGGACUCUAGCGAGACUGCCACCGUAAGGUGUGAGGAAGGGGGGGAUGACGUCAAAUCAACACGGCCCUUACGUCCGGGGCGACACACGUGUUACAAUGGUAAGGACAAAGGGCAGCUACCGGGCGACCGGAUGCGAAUCUCUAAACCUUAUCUCAGUUCGGAUCGGAGUCUGCAACUCGACUCCGUGAAGCUGGAUUCGCUAGUAAUCGCGGAUCAGCACGCCGCGGUGAAUACGUUCCCGGGCCUU
Molecule: ribosomal RNA, 850 nt
Filed under: uncultured bacterium
Lineage: Bacteria
Description: bacterial SSU rRNA
Rfam family: Bacterial small subunit ribosomal RNA
Source: RNAcentral